CUACAGAUGGAGAAAAUAAAGAGACAGAGUCUAAAAACAUUUGAGGAUACAAGACUUGUAAAUGAUUCCUCAGCAUAAGGUGGUGCAAAUUUGACCAUUUUGAAAUAGAAUAAAAAUGAUAUCUCCCUUGCUUUUGAAAAA
Molecule: long non-coding RNA, 141 nt
Organism: Phacochoerus africanus (Common warthog)
Lineage: Eukaryota; Metazoa; Chordata; Mammalia; Artiodactyla; Suidae
Exons: 2
Source: RefSeq, a predicted model, not a curated record